GAUGAACGCUGGCGGCGUGCCUAAUACAUGCAAGUCGAGCGAACGGACGAGAAGCUUGCUUCUCUGAUGUUAGCGGCGGACGGGUGAGUAACACGUGGAUAACCUACCUAUAAGACUGGGAUAACUUCGGGAAACCGGAGCUAAUACCGGAUAAUAUUUUGAACCGCAUGGUUCAAAAGUGAAAGACGGUCUUGCUGUCACUUAUAGAUGGAUCCGCGCUGCAUUAGCUAGUUGGUAAGGUAACGGCUUACCAAGGCAACGAUGCAUAGCCGACCUGAGAGGGUGAUCGGCCACACUGGAACUGAGACACGGUCCAGACUCCUACGGGAGGCAGCAGUAGGGAAUCUUCCGCAAUGGGCGAAAGCCUGACGGAGCAACGCCGCGUGAGUGAUGAAGGUCUUCGGAUCGUAAAACUCUGUUAUUAGGGAAGAACAUAUGUGUAAGUAACUGUGCACAUCUUGACGGUACCUAAUCAGAAAGCCACGGCUAACUACGUGCCAGCAGCCGCGGUAAUACGUAGGUGGCAAGCGUUAUCCGGAAUUAUUGGGCGUAAAGCGCGCGUAGGCGGUUUUUUAGUCUGAUGUGAAAGCCCACGGCUCAACCGUGGAGGGUCAUUGGAAACUGGAAAACUUGAGUGCAGAAGAGGAAAGUGGAAUUCCAUGUGUAGCGGUGAAAUGCGCAGAGAUAUGGAGGAACACCAGUGGCGAAGGCGACUUUCUGGUCUGUAACUGACGCUGAUGUGCGAAAGCGUGGGGAUCAAACAGGAUUAGAUACCCUGGUAGUCCACGCCGUAAACGAUGAGUGCUAAGUGUUAGGGGGUUUCCGCCCCUUAGUGCUGCAGCUAACGCAUUAAGCACUCCGCCUGGGGAGUACGACCGCAAGGUUGAAACUCAAAGGAGUUGACGGGGACCCGCACAAGCGGUGGAGCAUGUGGUUUAAUUCGAAGCAACGCGAAGAACCUUACCAAAUCUUGACAUCCUUUGACAACUCUAGAGAUAGAGCCUUCCCCUUCGGGGGACAAAGUGACAGGUGGUGCAUGGUUGUCGUCAGCUCGUGUCGUGAGAUGUUGGGUUAAGUCCCGCAACGAGCGCAACCCUUAAGCUUAGUUGCCAUCAUUAAGUUGGGCACUCUAAGUUGACUGCCGGUGACAAACCGGAGGAAGGUGGGGAUGACGUCAAAUCAUCAUGCCCCUUAUGAUUUGGGCUACACACGUGCUACAAUGGACAAUACAAAGGGCAGCGAAACCGCGAGGUCAAGCAAAUCCCAUAAAGUUGUUCUCAGUUCGGAUUGUAGUCUGCAACUCGACUACAUGAAGCUGGAAUCGCUAGUAAUCGUAGAUCAGCAUGCUACGGUGAAUACGUUCCCGGGUCU
RNAcentral lists this ribosomal RNA (1371 nucleotides) under uncultured bacterium. Its description in RNAcentral is "bacterial SSU rRNA". It matches the Rfam family "Bacterial small subunit ribosomal RNA", at positions 28 to 1381 of the family's 1533-position model. The record is from RNAcentral.